CCUACGGGUGGCAGCAGUGAGGAAUAUUGGUCAAUGGACGAGAGUCUGAACCAGCCAAGUAGCGUGAAGGAUGACUGCCCUAUGGGUUGUAAACUUCUUUUAUAUGGGAAUAAAAUGUUCCACGUGUGGGAUUUUGUAUGUACCAUAUGAAUAAGGAUCGGCUAACUCCGUGCCAGCAGCCGCGGUAAUACGGAGGAUCCGAGCGUUAUCCGGAUUUAUUGGGUUUAAAGGGAGCGUAGGUGGAUUGUUAAGUCAGUUGUGAAAGUUUGCGGCUCAACCGUAAAAUUGCAGUUGAAACUGGCAGUCUUGAGUACAGUAGAGGUGGGCGGAAGUCGUGGUGUAGCGGUGAAAUGCUGAGAUAUCACGAAGAACUCCGAUUGCGAAGGCAGUUCACUGGACUGCAACUGACACUGAGGCUCGAAAGUGUGGGUAUCAAACAGGAUUAGAUACCCCAGUAGUC
This 460-nucleotide ribosomal RNA is filed under the name uncultured bacterium. RNAcentral describes it as "partial 16S ribosomal RNA". It matches the Rfam family "Bacterial small subunit ribosomal RNA", at positions 338 to 795 of the family's 1533-position model. The record is from RNAcentral.